This 364-nucleotide long non-coding RNA is filed under the name Homo sapiens (human). RNAcentral describes it as "non-protein coding lnc-RBM44-2:1". Lineage: Eukaryota; Metazoa; Chordata; Mammalia; Primates; Hominidae. The record is from RNAcentral.
ACUCUCGUGCCAAGCAUGUCUCUCCAAAUGGCUGCUCUCUGGCGUUCCUCACACUCCCCCUGAAGUUCAUCUAAGAUCUUCAUUCUUCAAAGUGGCUCACACCUGUAAUCCCAGCACUUUGGGAGGCCGAGGCGGGUAGAUCUCUCGAGGCCAGGAAUUCAAGACCAGCCUGGCCAACAUGGUGAAACCCCAUCUCUAUUAAAAAUACAAAAAAAAAGUAGUUGGGUGUGGUGGCACACACCUGUAGUCCCAGCUACUUGGGAGGCUGAAGCAGGAGAAUCACUUGAACCCAGGAGGCGGAGGCUGCAGUGAGCCGAGAUCACACCACUGCACACCAGCCUAGGCUACAGAGCAAGACUAUCUC